GUGUCUGCUGAACACUUGCGUCUGGUAGGAAGCACUUGCCUGUCCGUCACUUUAGUACUCUUUGCACACUGAAGCGUGUCGAUGGUAGGAUAGAGGCCUACCAUGGUUGCGACGGGUAAGGGGGAAUAAAGGUUUGAUCCUGGAGAGGGAGCCUGAAAAACGGCUACCACAUCCAAGGAAGGCAGCAGGUGCGCAAAUUACCCAAUCCCAACACGGGGAGGUAGUGACACAAUACAUAACAACCUGGAGCUUUUUAAAGGUUCCAAAAUUGGAAUGUAUACAACUUAAAUCCCUUAAUGAGGAGCAGUUGAAGGGCAAGUCUGGUGCCAGCAGCUGCGGUAAUCCCAGCUCCAAU
Molecule: non-coding RNA, 355 nt
Filed under: Ceraceosorus bombacis
Lineage: Eukaryota; Fungi; Basidiomycota; Exobasidiomycetes; Ceraceosorales; Ceraceosoraceae
Description: Microsporidia small subunit ribosomal RNA
Rfam family: Eukaryotic small subunit ribosomal RNA
Source: Rfam by way of RNAcentral